This 233-nucleotide ribosomal RNA is filed under the name uncultured bacterium. RNAcentral describes it as "partial 16S ribosomal RNA". It matches the Rfam family "Bacterial small subunit ribosomal RNA", at positions 15 to 240 of the family's 1533-position model. The record is from RNAcentral.
GAUCAUGGCUCAGGAUGAACGCUAGCUACAGGCUUAACACAUGCAAGUCGAUGGGCAGCAUGAUUGAAGCUUGCUUCAAUCGAUGGCGACCGGCGCACGGGUGAGUAGCACGUAUCCAACCUGCCGAUAACUCGGGGAUAGCCUUUCGAAAGAAAGAUUAAUACCCGAUAGCAUAGUUUCCCCGCAUGGGGUUACUAUUAAAGGAUUCCGGUUAUCGAUGGGGAUGCGUUCCA